CUAGUACGAGAGGACCGGAGUGGACGCAUCACUGGUGUUCGGGUUGUCAUGCCAAUGGCACUGCCCGGUAGCUAAAUGCGGAAGAGAUAAGUGCUGAAAGCAUCUAAGCACGAAACUUGCCCCGAGAUGAGUUCUCCCUGAGACUUUAAGUCUCCUGAAGGAACGUUAAAGACGAUGACGUUGAUAGGCCGGGUGUGUAAGCGCAGCGAUGCGUUGAGCUAACCGGUACUAAUGAACCGUGAGGCUUAACCUUACAACGCCGAAG
This 265-nucleotide ribosomal RNA is filed under the name Klebsiella pneumoniae. Its description in RNAcentral is "partial 23S ribosomal RNA". It matches the Rfam family "Bacterial large subunit ribosomal RNA", at positions 2678 to 2925 of the family's 2925-position model. Lineage: Bacteria; Pseudomonadati; Pseudomonadota; Gammaproteobacteria; Enterobacterales; Enterobacteriaceae. The record is from RNAcentral. RNAcentral also lists the same sequence under 2 other names.